ACUGUAGUGAGUUUUGGGCAACUGAAAUUCUACAACUUAAAACAAAACCAUCUACGGAUAAAUAGGACUACAGCUCUGGCUCAUGAGGAGCAUUGAAGGCUCCCAGCUGUGUGAUAUCCUGUAAGCAAACUCAGCUGCCUUCAAGAUCAUGCAUCCAGGGUCUAAGGUGGGAGUGAGAAGAAACAAUGCGUGGAUGAUGGGCUUCGGCUCUUAAAUCAAAACCUCUCUUAUUCAUAGACAAACAUGCACUUGCACACAGUUCUGGGCAGAAGAACCCUCCUGUUAUUAGCGCACGCCCACGGCUCCUUGGAGCCAGACUAAAUAAAUAAAUUACAGAUUCA
This is a long non-coding RNA of Acanthopagrus latus (yellowfin seabream), 341 nucleotides long. RefSeq lists it as uncharacterized. The record is from RefSeq and is a predicted model, not a curated record. The transcript has 3 exons. Lineage: Eukaryota; Metazoa; Chordata; Actinopteri; Spariformes; Sparidae.